Molecule: transfer RNA, 65 nt
Filed under: Dipodomys ordii (Ord's kangaroo rat)
Lineage: Eukaryota; Metazoa; Chordata; Mammalia; Rodentia; Heteromyidae
Rfam family: tRNA
About the family: Transfer RNA (tRNA) molecules are approximately 80 nucleotides in length. Their secondary structure includes four short double-helical elements and three loops (D, anti-codon, and T loops). Further hydrogen bonds mediate the characteristic L-shaped molecular structure. tRNAs have two regions of fundamental functional importance: the anti-codon, which is responsible for specific mRNA codon recognition, and the 3' end, to which the tRNAs corresponding amino acid is attached (by aminoacyl-tRNA synthetases). tRNAs cope with the degeneracy of the genetic code in two manners: having more than one tRNA (with a specific anti-codon) for a particular amino acid; and 'wobble' base-pairing, i.e. permitting non-standard base-pairing at the 3rd anti-codon position.
Source: Rfam by way of RNAcentral
GGUGGCUCAGUGAUAGAGCGCUUGCUUUGCAUGCAUGAAGCCCUGGGUUCGAUUCCUCAGCACCA